CCAGCUCUUUUGAUGGAUGAUUGAAUCUGUGGGAAGUUAUCAGAAUAUGUGGCAAUGACUGAUGAGAUGACAACUUCAAUGUAGUCCCAUAUCUCCUUGAUGAACUCAACCGGUUUGGCUUGUAUACCAUCAACAUGUUGUGAGAGGAUUGCUAAGAAAGAAGAUCUUGCCAGGCGGGCGGUACAAUGCAUGCUUUGAUCAUCAGGGUAUUCAGAGAAGUCUCCUUGGACGAGAAAUCUUAAAAGAGACUCUUUUGCUGAGCCUAUGAUAUCCAUUAGUGCCAUCAAUGCUUCUCCAGUAGAAGCCAUUACUAUGGGAAGCUUGUUAAACUCGAGGAUACUGAACUCCAUCUUCUCGUUGAUUUUUCUUUCGAUUUCAGGCAAACACCGGGAGAUCAUCAUUCCUUGGAUCUGUGUCAACUUGUGAGCUAAAACGGGGAUGCCUACAAUCUCCUCAUCGAUCAUGGAAAGCAUUGGAUGGGUCUUGAAGAGUAACUCUUCUUGAAUCCGGGCUUCUUCGAGCCCUUCAGGAGCCAUGUCUGCCUUUGUGACAACAGCCAGAGUCCUCUCACCGGUUUUGUCAACCUGCUUGGACAUCCGUAUUGACUCGCAAGUUGUGAAAUCAACUGUCGCUGACAGGACAUUGAGGAUGAUGGAUUCUUGUGGCUCGAUAUACUUCAUAACCAUCCCGGAAAUCUGUUCAUAGAUGUUUUCAGGCUGCCCAUUCACGGGAACACGGGUUAUUCCAGGGAGAUCAACCAUGGUGAUAUCUGGAACACCAGCCUUUUUCACGUGGAGCGUCAGGGGAGUGUCUGAAACACCUUUACCAGAACCUGCAACAUGAGGUUACACAAGUUCUUAUCAAAAUCAAGAACACCACUAUAACACUCAGUCCGAAGUUCCAUCAAAUAGCAAAGCCAAAACUAAUGUAACAUCAUGGAAAAAAAAACAAAAUCAGAUCACUUAAGAUCCACUAGGAGUUGCAGAAUCCUAUUGACACCUCUAGCACUAUUAUUCAGUUACAUAUAUGCAUAUGUAUUUUCAGGGACUUCUAUGUGAGUAGCUAGCUCGUUUGAAUGUCUAUGUAGAUAAAGGUGUUGUUUUCAUUUUUAGAAUCC
This is a long non-coding RNA of Camelina sativa (false flax), 1117 nucleotides long. RefSeq lists it as uncharacterized. The record is from RefSeq and is a predicted model, not a curated record. Lineage: Eukaryota; Viridiplantae; Streptophyta; Magnoliopsida; Brassicales; Brassicaceae.